AUUCCGCUAUGGUGACACUUUUUAACUAUCUCCUUAAACCUCUCACAUGCUUCAAAAACUGUUUCAGUCUCUUUCUGGCAAAAGUUAUGGAUUUCUCUUCUAAACAU
This is a non-coding RNA of Nicotiana attenuata, 107 nucleotides long. NCBI's taxonomy places the organism in Eukaryota, Viridiplantae, Streptophyta, Magnoliopsida, Solanales, Solanaceae. The record is from Rfam.